AAAAAUACUUAGGACAGGGAGAGCGCGGGUGAAUGAAGAGACUGAAGAGAGAAUAAUUCGGAAGCGAUGUCGAACAAUGAAAACUCAUCGGAGAUCGCGAACUUCUCCCACGACAUUGACGAUGUUAAAGAUUUCAUCUGUGCGAAUGAGGGAGAAUCGUCGAUUUCGUACGAGAGAUUUCAGCAGAUUAUCGAGUUUGUGCGGAGCGGAAAUCAAGCCUUUCGCCGAGGAAGAUUUUGAGGAGGCAAUUAAUUGUUAUUCUAAAGCCACUCUUGUUAAAUCGGGUGAUCCUAUUAUCCUGAGUAAUAGAUGUGCUGCUUAUUUAAGGCUGUUUCAUCACUAAGGUUUGUAGUUGUUCAAAAGAUAGAAGAAGCAGUGGACUUUGUAAAUAAUCGGCUUGUCAUUGAUUAUUCUAGCAUGCCCAUGUAGACAUAUAAAAUUGAUGGAAGUUUAACUCAUGAUGAUCAACUAAGUCCAUGCACUUUAAACAUGGUGGCUUUAGAUCAAGCACUUAAUUCCAGGUCAAAUGGAGCAUCUACUUCAGGCCGGUGAGCCACAAAUUCCAUCAGAGCUCAUUGCACAUUGCAUUGCCACAAUACUGAUGAUUCAAGUAAGCUUUGAUAGUUUUUUUUCCACUGGUUAAAUUUAGCACAUAUCGUCAGUUUCAAUUUCCUGUCUUCAGUUUUCUUGUGUAGAACCUUAGGAUGUAUCAGUGGACGAAAUACUCUAUUUUUUUAUGAUUCUUGUCGGUUAUUUUUGUUUUUGGGGAGGAGAGAAAAACUAAGUUGGUUUUAGGCGAUAUUAAUGGGGACCCGACUUCAUAUAUAUUGAAACCACUUGCCCUCUGUAGUGUAAUAUCAAACCGAGCGUCGUGCUAAGCUUCUCUACGGAGGUUUUAUAAGAUGCUGGCGACCAUUAAUGACAUAUUUUUCACCCCUUGACAUGUUCUCAUCGACAAGCCAAUUGGAAUUAUGCGGUAUCCUGGAGUUGCUAAGGGUUUAUAUGUUGCUCUGCCCUCAGGUUAUUAUCUGUAUAUAGUUUUAUUGUUUAAUCUCAUUUAGUACUUACAUAUUGCAACUUGAAGCCUAAACUUUAAGUAUAUCCUAGUUUGGUUUACCUCAAGCAUCAGCAUACAAGUAUCCAUGUUAAGGUUCCAAUUAGAUUAAUUACCUAGCAAUCAAGGUAUAAAGCAAUACUAGACUGGAAAGGUUUAGACUAUAAAUUCUAUUAUAUAGUUUCUCUUCCAGCAUGCUAUUGGUAAAACAUCCCACUAUUGAUCAUAAUUCCUUUUACUUCACAACUUUUGUCCUGGAUGACUUUAAUUAGUUUCCUAGUAGUGCAUUAAGUGUGCAGAGAUAUAAGGGAACCACUAAGAUUGUAAAAGCCUAUAUUUUAAGCAAGUUUAAUAACAAUUUUAUAAAUGAGAUUUGAUAGGUAUAAUAGCUGAUAUUUUCAGACACGUUUUAGUUAAAGUUAGCUAUGUUCAUAUUAGUAAAGAAAUUACUUUGAGAAUUAUUAUUUAUUGUCUAAAGUAAGUUCCAAGCACAAAUAAGUUAGUAUGGGUUUUAUAUGAUACAGAUAUUAAGUUAAGGAUUUUAAGCUUUGGAAUAAAGAGAAACCCAUUUUUAAUUACAAUUUAUCUCUCCUCACUCAUGUCAUCUACUCUAGAUGCUAGAGCAUCACUCUCUCUUUUCUUCAUAACUUCUCCAUCAAGUGCCAAAGUAUAAUUUUCCCAUAGAUGAAUUGUUCUCUUCAAUAUUUCAGUUUUAUUACCGAAGUGGAGAAACCCCCAAAACCAAAAUAAAACCCCAAACAAUAAUUUUCUCUCUCCCCUGAUUUUAUACUCCAUAUUGUGCAUGUUCAAUUUCUGCAUUCUAGAGUCGGAAUUUGCCUAAACUUCUUGCAUGAAAGUUGUAGACCUCAAAACGUUAUUGAACUUAGACCCAAAAAUCACUCGAUUUGGAGUUUGGAGCUAUGAGUUAUGGCCUUUGCAAGUUUGGUGUUGCUACCUUCAUUUCUCCCUCAAUCUGUUGCCUCAAUUAUCUACAACAUGAAAUCCAAUUUUGCUCUUUUUGGCUGAAUCAAAGUUAUAGAUCACUUCGAGAUAAUGAAUUUGGUCACAAAAAUCACUCAAUUCGGAGUUCGGAGCUAUGAGUUACGCCUUACACAAGUUCAGCACUACUCUUGUACUUUGGGUUGCGCUGCUGCCGUGGUUGGCUUUGUUUGCCAAUGUUGUCAUUGCUAACUUGUUUGCUUUGUUGAUGUCAUUUUUUUGGUAUUCCUUUCCAUAUGAAGGUAUAAGCUAAUUUUUCUUAAUUCCUCUUCUCCUUUGAUUCCAAUUCAAGUAUGGUGCAAUUGGAUUUUAUAUUCUGAUUUUAGAAAUAAAUUUGGUUCUCAAUUUUGUUAUGUUGUUUGAUAAUACUCUCUGAAAUCAAAAUGAUGUUAAUUAGAUAUAGAAUUGAUGUUGUGAGUUGGAUUAGUAGAAUGAGUUGUAUAUAUGUUGGUUAGUUCAUGGAAGAGCUUAGAAAGUAUGAGUAAUUCAAUAUUUUUAUCUAAAUUGUUGUGAGGAUGGUUAAUGAUUGUUGUUAUUGUUUUGAGGUCGUUGUUGGAUUAUGUAUAUGGAGACAAUUUAUGAAGUUCGAGCUAUAGUUGAUUAUCCAAAAUGUCGUGUUAUUGGAAAUCGUUUCAAGAGCUCAUACGCACAAGCAUAAACAAGCUGGAGGAGGAGGAACUUUGAGAUAACAUAGAUGUUUACUAGGAAGUGUAAUUGAUCUACAUCUUUUUUUGGUCUUUGAAACAUUUGUGUAUAUAGUUUGGAAUGUUCUUGUUUUACUUGUUACAGAACAUAAUGAUUGAAAUUUUAGGAGCUAUAUUCGUAAGUUUGUGCACAUGAAUUAGAAGGAAUAGGCCUAUGUGUUAUAUUAUUUUUUUAUAACUUAGUUGAAUUUUUGGAAUCUUCUAACAUUAUAUUGAUAUGCAUGUGAUUUUGUAGUGAAUGAUAUUGAAUGAAUGAUAAGGUAUUCUAAUUAUAAAGUCAUCUAAAUUAUCUCA
Molecule: long non-coding RNA, 3051 nt
Organism: Beta vulgaris subsp. vulgaris (sugar beet)
Lineage: Eukaryota; Viridiplantae; Streptophyta; Magnoliopsida; Caryophyllales; Amaranthaceae
Exons: 5
Source: RefSeq, a predicted model, not a curated record